RNAcentral lists this unclassified non-coding RNA (335 nucleotides) under soil metagenome. Its description in RNAcentral is "partial contains 5.8S ribosomal RNA, internal transcribed spacer 2, and large subunit ribosomal RNA". The stretch from base 1 to 120 matches the Rfam family "5.8S ribosomal RNA", at positions 35 to 154 of the family's 154-position model. The record is from RNAcentral.
GAUGAAGAACGCAGCGAAAUGCGAUAAGUAAUGCGAAUUGCAGAAUUCAGUGAAACAUCGAAUCUUUGAACGCACAUUGCGCCCGCCAGUAUUCUGGCGGGCAUGCCUGUUCGAGCGUCAUUUCAACCAUCAAGCCCCCGGCUUGUGUUGGGGACCUGCGGCUGCCGCAGGCCCUGAAAACCAGUGGCGGGCUCGCUAGUCACUCCGAGCGUAGUAAUACAUCUCGCUCAGGGCGUGCUGCGGGUUCCGGCCGUUAAAAAGCCUUAUUUACCCAAGGUUGACCUCGGAUCAGGUAGGAAGACCCGCUGAACUUAAGCAUAUCAAUAAGCGGAGGA